AUAGUUUGCAAGGUUACAUUUUAAUGAUUUUAAUUUGCUUUGCUUUCAGGCAAUGGUUCUGGGCACUUUGGCGGAGCACUCCCUGCCAUUCACAAUGGCCCCUGUCAUCGUCAACCUUGCUCGGAUGCUGGCCGAGGACAAAGUGGCUCUAAGUCGCAUGAAGCUGUCGCGAACAUCAGCGCAAUAUAAAAUGGUUCACGGCCUGGGGAAGACAUUCUCCGACCGCAUCCUCAGCAACACUGGGAAGUUACCAUUCUCCGUCAAUCUUGAUGAGGCCACCUCAAGGAGUGACAAAAAGGUCCUGUACUUUGGGUUCAUGGAUAAAGAAGACAAGGCUCUCUACAAAGAACCUUGGGAACAACUUUAUGCUGCUCACCAUGUGAGUGAAAAGGCCCAGAGACACAUUCAGUCUUUUCACAAGGACCUCAGCGGGAAAGGUAAAUCAAUCCAUUGCGGUUAUAGAUUGGCUGGAUAAUGUGGACAAAUUAAUGGAA
RNAcentral lists this long non-coding RNA (494 nucleotides) under Gadus morhua (Atlantic cod). Its description in RNAcentral is "lncRNA (ENSGMOG00000028726.1)". Lineage: Eukaryota; Metazoa; Chordata; Actinopteri; Gadiformes; Gadidae. The record is from RNAcentral.